GACGAACGCUGGCGGCGUGCUUAACACAUGCAAGUCGAGCGGUAAGGCCCUUUCGGGGGUACACGAGCGGCGAACGGGUGAGUAACACGUGGGUGACCUGCCCUCAGCUCUGGGAUAAGCCCGGGAAACUGGGUCUAAUACCGGAUAUGACUCCAUGACGCAUGUUGUGGGGUGGAAAGCCUUGUGCGGCUGAGGAUGGGCCCGCGGCCUAUCAGCUUGUUGGUGGGGUGAUGGCCUACCAAGGCGACGACGGGUAGCCGGCCUGAGAGGGCGACCGGCCACACUGGGACUGAGACACGGCCCAGACUCCUACGGGAGGCAGCAGUGGGGAAUCUUGCGCAAUGGGCGAAAGCCUGACGCAGCGACGCCGCGUGCGGGAAGAAGGCCUCGG
This 391-nucleotide ribosomal RNA is filed under the name uncultured bacterium. Its description in RNAcentral is "bacterial SSU rRNA". It matches the Rfam family "Bacterial small subunit ribosomal RNA", at positions 28 to 420 of the family's 1533-position model. The record is from RNAcentral.